This is a non-coding RNA of Callithrix jacchus (white-tufted-ear marmoset), 19691 nucleotides long. The record is from RefSeq and is a predicted model, not a curated record. NCBI's taxonomy places the organism in Eukaryota, Metazoa, Chordata, Mammalia, Primates, Cebidae.
CUCUGCCCUUGCCUGAGUCCCUGGUGAUCUGUUGGGAGGGAGCCCCAUGGCGUGCAUGCACACCCUCCUAAGCAGUAGCUGUUUCCAGCCGCUCCCUUCCACCUGGGGUGUAACGUCAGGCGAUGGUUAGAGGAAUAUGUGGGAAGCUUCUCCUUGCUGAUGGCAGUGCAGCUGUGGGAAGCCAUCUGGGAAUACUCUUUCUGAAGCUGUCUCCUUUCUCUUGCCCCACCUGGCCCAGGGAGGCUAGUGAUGGACUGGAUCGUCAUUUAUUUAUGCAAAAACUGUGGCUGGUGGGGGUGGGGGAGUGAGAGUGAAUUGGAACUGUUAUUUUCAGCUGUUAGAAAUGCAACAUGCAUGAUUAGAGGAAACUGUUGGAGGUCAGGAAGAAGGAGGUCUUCCCAGGUUCCAUAGCGGAGUAAUCGGACAGAUACCAGCUAUUGUGGGAGGAGAAACACCUGCUGAAUUUGUGCCCUGUUGGGGAAGCCUGCACUGUGUCUCCCAGGUCUCUGCAACUUCUGCAGCUCCUCAUGUGCCGGGGGUUGGGGUCAGGGCAGUUGGAACAGGUGGCAUCUGUGGCUCAGUAUUCUGAGGGCCUGCAGACUUGGAGUGGGUUUUGCCCUUGUCUGUUUGGAAUCAACAUGGGUUGAUUCCAAAGCCUUCUUAGCUUUGGUUAAGACCUGCCCACUCAAAAUUAGAUGGUAGAUUUUAUUUCUUAAGUAUCAGAGAGGCCAAGCACGGUGGCUCACACCUGUAAUCCCAGCCCUUUGGGAGACAGAGGCAGGCAAAUCACCUAAGGUCAGGAGUUUGAGACCAGCCUGGCCAACAUGGUUGGUUUAGUAGAAACCCCAUCUCUACUAAAAAUACAGAAAAGUUAGCUGGACGUGGUGGCACGCACCUGUAAUCCUGACUACUCAGGAGGCUGAGGCAGGAGAAUUGCUUGAACCCAGGAGGCAGAGGUUACAGUGAGCUGAGGUCGCAUCACUGUACUUCAGCCUGGAUGACAGAGCAAGACUGUCUCAAAAAAAAAAAAUAAAAAAGAAUCAGAGUUAGGCUAAACCUAUAAUCCCAGGUCUGUGGUAGGCCAAGGAGGAAGGAUUGUUUGAACCCAGGAGUCUGAGACAAGCCUGGACAACAUAAAAUUUAGCAACUUUAAAAAUUAGCUGAGCAUGGUGGCAAAUGCCUGUAGUCCCACCUACUCAAGAGGCUGAGGUGGGAGGAUCCCUUGACCCCAGGAGGUCGAGGCUACAGUGAGCUGUGAUUGGUCCACUGUACUCCAGCCUGGGUGACAAAGCUAGACCCUGUCUAAAAAAACAGUCAGAGUCAGCCAAUUCCCGGCGCUACUGCUUACAUGGCACAGCUUAUUCCUGAAGAGCCCACGGCCAGGUGGAACGGCAGGACCCCCACCCCAGUGCUGGUAUUUAUCAGCUCCGUUUCACCAGAGCUGGAGAGACACAGCCCGGGGAUGUGUAAAGAUGAGGAGCCUGGGGGGCCUGAAACCGUGUCCCCUGACUGGAAUGCAAUGUGUUAAGUGGAAAAAUAUUGUCAUUAUGUAUAACAGGGAGGUGACUUUGGCAAAGCUUCUGAACUGUAAAUGAAAACUGGACUAGCAGACAAAGCAAAAGGUAAAUCUGAAAUCCGCCUCCGCCAGCACUCCCGGAAGCCCCUGCGGCUCAGAUCAUGCUGAGUCCUCAGGGAGAGCAGGUGAAAGAGACAGCGGUUCUUGAACCCAGAGAGUGUUCAAUCUUGUGAAGAAGAAAGCCACAUAAAGAGAACUAGAGAGCAGUGUUUAAUCGAGAGACUCCCAGCUACUCAGGAAGCUAAGGUGGGAGGAUCGCUUGUAGGUGAAGGUAGGCCAGGUGCAGUGGCUCAAGCCUGCAUUCCCAGCACUUUGGGAGGUUGAGGUGGGAGAAUUGCUUAAGCCUGGGAGUUCGAGACCAGCCUGGGCAACAUCAUGAGACCCCUCUCUACAAAAAUAAAAUAAAAAAUGAGCCAGGCAUGAUGGUGCACACCUGUGGUCCCAGCUACUUGGGAAGCUGAAGUGGGAAGAUCCCUUGAGCCUGGGAGGUGGAGGCUGCCGUGAGCCCUAAUCACACCACUGCACUCCAACCUGGGAGACAGAGCAGGACCCUCAAAACCAAAUGGUGACUGUGCACAGGAGCAGGACACCCAGGACAGGUGUGCACAGGAGCAGGACACCCAGGACGGGUGUGCACAGGAGCAGGACACCCAGGACGGGUGUGCACAAGAGCAGGACACCCAGGACGGGUGUGCACAAGAGCAGGACACCCAGCCCUGAGCAGGAAGAGGAGGGAGGGAAUCCUAGACUGGAGGGAAUCACUGACUAAAAAGAUGACUCUGAUUUAAGUAAUAAAGUAAUAAACACUUAUCUACUGUAGAAUUAAACCAGAACCUAUUAUUAACUAAAAAUCUGCUUUUGCUAAUGGGGAUGGACAGGCCCAUUAUUAAAAGCCUAUUAUGUGCCAGACAGUGGCUUCUCCCCGUGUGUUUAACGGUUGGCUGUCAUCCUGUCUCCUACGCUUCUGAGAUCAAAAGUAAUGUUUGCAUCUCAACCAACUUUUAUUUAAGAGCCUAGAUGCAGAUGCAAGCUCUGGCCACAGGGUCAGGAAAAUCGGAGGUCCUUCCAGAGCCUUUCUCUGGGAUUUAGGAAGCAGCUGGAGGUCACAGCCCCUGCUCCAGCUGAGGCUCCUCUUAGGCGGCUGGAGCCCAGGGACCUGGGUUGAUAGAAUGUCUGGCUUUGGUUAGUGUCUCAGUGAGAAGAAACUAGAGCUAGGCUGGGCAGGAGGCGAGAGCCCUCACCCCUGCAGACAGCACUGGGCAUGGAUACAGUGAGAGAGGAUAAACAGUCCGGGAGCGCUGACCGAGCCGUCCCUCCUAAGGGAAGCCUUCCCACCUCUCGGGUGGAUCACCUGAGGUCAGGCGUUUGAGACCAGCCUGGCCAACACGGUGAAAACCUGUCUCUACAAAAAAUACAAAAAUUAGCCAGGCAUGUUGGCGGGUGCCUGUAGUCCCAGCUACUCAGGAGGCUGAGGCAGGAGAAUUGCUGGAACCCAGGAGGUGGAGGUUGCAGUGAGCCCAGAUUGUGCCAUUGCACUCCAGCCCAGUGACAACAGUGAGACUCCAUCUAAAAAAACAAAAAUAACCCACCGAAUGCCUCUUCUGUGAUCCCCUGGCUGCUCGUGGACAGGGGUGAUGUCUCAGGGAUCUCAUCAAUAGCUCCAACCCUCAGCCUUGGAGGACACAGGUUCUACACAAAAACCGCUGGCCCUGUGAUGGCUGGACGACAUUCCAGCCCACGGCACUCCCUGUUCUCCAGGAAGGAUUACUUCAGGGAUUUGUGUUUUAAAUUCCCUCAUACAGCGCCUGGUCCUCAUACAGUCUCUCCUGGAGCUAAAAGAAUCUCGGGGCGGGGUUUGGUAGCUCACGCCUAGCACUGUGGGAGGCAGAGGCACAUGGAUUGCUUGAGUCCAGGAGUUUGGGACCAGCCUGGACAAUAUGGCAAAACCCCAUCUCUACAAAAAAUACAAAAAUUAGCCAGGCGUGGUGAUGCAUGUCUAUAGUUCCAGCUAAUUGGGAGGCUGAGGUGGGAGGAUUGCUUGAGCCUGGGAGGUCAAGGCUGCAGUGAGCCAUGAUUGUACCACUGCACUCCAGGCUGGGUGACAGAACUAGACACUGUCUCCAAAAAAAAAAAAAGGCCCGGUGCAGUGGCUUAUGCCUAUGCCUGUAAUCCCAACACUUUGGGAGGCUGAGGCAGGUGGAGGAGCACUUGAACCGAGAAGUUUGAGACCAACUUGGGCAACAUGGCAAAAACCCUUCUCUACAAAAAAGAGUCAGGUAUGGUGCUGUAUACCUGUAGUCCCAGCCCUGGGGAGGCUAAGGUGGGAGGAUCACGUGAGCCCACAAGGCAGAGGUUGAAGUGAGCCAAGAUGGCACUACGGCACUCCAGACUGGGAGACAGCAAGACCCAGUCUCAAACAAACAAACAAAUCUUAGCUGAGGCCUCUUCUCCCUGAGAAAGCUUUUGUGAGGGUCAUGAAAUGCCUGUCCUUGACUUCUCCCGCCCCUCCAUGUGAAACCCACCUAGGCAAUCAGACAGGUCCCUCCCAUACAUCUGCUUUCCUCUGUGGUUGAGUCAGUCUUCCAGGAACCACGCUGUCCUCUGCUCCUUGUUUCAUCUGGGGGCUUCCCUGCAGCUCCCCGGGUCAAGACUUACCCGCAUACACACGUCAUGUACCUGUACACACACACACAGCUCUUCUCACAGGCAUCAAAAGCAAGGCCCCGCAGCGCCAGAGUCACCAGGUCCAUUUGUCACCACUGUGGAUGGCAUUUCCACUGGAAAGCCUGUGGCUCUAGCUGGAAACGUUCACUCGCCAGCCUUGUGACCUCGCCCCCUGGAAGCUCUGACUCAAGGAGUGCCUGGUCCCAACCCCUCUCUGGCUGCAGAGCCAGCAGGGAGGCUGCGUCUGGCACAGAAGGGAAGCUCCCCGCUCCAGCUUUCAGGCUCCAGGCUCUAAACAAGUGACCAGCUUGGCUAAGCCUUUCUUUUGGCCUCUUUGGCAAAGAGAAAUCCAGAUUAUGUCAACAGAGGGUAUGUGGCAACAAUCAUAAAGUUGUAGAAGGAAGAUUAGGAGAGGAUUAUGCUAAUCAGAUCAAAGAGCAUUGACUGUAGCAGCGUUUUCACCCUCUGCAAUUAUAGGGCAGUAAUUAAAUAAAAGCCAUUCAGAGUCUUAAGGGAUUCUUUCUGGGGGCCCACACUGGAGCCAGGAGUCUGAGGGGUGUGUCAGGAAGCUGGUGUUUCUUCCUUGUGUGGCCAGGGUCCCAGGAAGGCUGGAGACCGCAUCUCGGAGGACACUUGGCUCUUAGAUCCACCUCCCCUUCUGAGAGCCCACACAGUAUGACGAUGCAGCGGCUUCUCACCAGAGCGCUGGCAUCCUUCUGGGCCCAGGCUCUUUCAGGGCACCCCAAUGCUGCAUGCCAUGGCUCUCCCGCCCUUGGCUGAGGAUGACCCUGCAGGGAGCAUCUCGUGCCCUUCGCCUCAGCAGAGGACAGGGCUGAGCAGUCCAGCCUGUGGUCCCUCCCGCCCCCUCCAGCACCCCAGCUCCUCCUCCUGGUCCUCACAUGCCUCUGGCACCCAUCUGCUGGCCCGGCUACUGGUUUCUCGAUGGUUUUGCCUUGAAAUACCCCAAUAUAUAUGUUUGCCUUUUACUGAUAGAAAUUUUUUUAUUUUACUUUUUAAAUUUAUUUUAUUAAAAAAAAAGACAGGGUUUCCCCAUGUUGCCCAGGCUGGUCUUGAACUCCCAGGCUCAGGAAAUCCUCCACCUUGGCCUCCCAAGGUGUGGGGUGACAGGAGUGAGACUCACCUGGCCAGGAAUUUUCAAAUGAAUACAGAAGUAGGGAGAACAGUAUAAUAACAUCCAACAGCAUCCGUCUUUCAGGGUUAACAGUGGCCAAGGUUCUGCCAGUCUCACACGUGUCCUCAGGGUCUUUGCGCCGGCUGCCCAGUGAACCGACCCCACAUCCUGCCUCCACGGUGCCACUACCACCCGACCUGGUGAUGAAAUCACGCUGGCCCAUUGAAACAAGCUAGGCUUGAAAGGACAAACACUGCGUGACUGUAUUUCUAUGAGGUCCCUAGAGUUACCACAUUUGUAGAAAGUGGAAUGGUGCUUGCCAGGGGCUGGGGUCAGGGGAUUGGGGAGUGAGGCGAGAGCCGCUAGCGUCUGCUGCAGUGACUGAAGGGACAAGAAGGCAGGGUGUGCAGGAUUAGAAGUGGCGAGUUUGGAUCAUAUUGGCAGGCUCUGGGCGCGGGGACCGUCUGGAGUUCUGUGGUCCCGGGCCCUGGGCUGAUGGGCAGGGAACAUGGCCUCCUGGUGUAAGAGCUAAAGAGGCCUGUGGCAGCGCGGCUCUGGGUUGGUUGGUUUGUACAUGACAGGUGGGCUCCCAGUGGGCCCCGGGCCAUCUCUAAGAACUGGCCGACCCUGGGAGCACCCAUCGCUCCCCGGUCAGCAGGGCCCCAAGAUGCCAGAGUGCCAAGAAGGCAGAACAUAAGAAAACCGAGUCCUUGCAAGGCGGCGCUCCUGCGUUCUCCGUCGGCUGGCUGGGGAGUCCCCCUUCCUCUGAGCCAAGCCCAGUGAGUCACCAGGCCGGUCCCACCUCCCAGCAGGGAGGACCUAGGAAGAGGGGCUAGCGUCCCUCAGCCCAGAUGUUCUGGGGUCUCCUCUAGGCCUCACACCGCAGCAACUCAGCCUUCUCCUCGGGGAUGUGUUUCUCAGCCAAGAUGAGACCAGUUCCCUUUCCUUAAAGGACACUGUCUGUGCGGCCUGGGGGGCCUCUGAUGCCUGAAACUGAGCUAAAGGGCCGGCUGCUCCCAGGGGCUGCCUCUGAUCAUCCCCGACCCAGCUUCAGGCUGUGGGAAACGCCAGCAUGAGUGACAGCAGCAGACUCGUGGGCGCCUCCAUCCCAUUUGCUGUGAAUGCUGCUUCAUGGAAGACUGAGUCCGUUCUGAGAGCGACUGGAAGAUGGGUCAGGGAUCGGGGCAGGGAUGGGCAUGCCCUGAAAACACCCGGCUGCUGUGGGAACAAAAAUAACCCAGUGUUGCCUGGAGUCUGGGACGCGCCUAAUGGUGGCCUUCUCUCUGGAUGAGAGUGACAGGAAGGUGUGGCCAGGCAGAACACAGGGCCCACUGAGGAUGGGGCACCGCCCUGCGAGCCUGGCAAGGUGCAGAAGAGACACUGUGACGCCGAGGCUCCUUCCACAGGCUCUCAGUUUACCACCUGAUGCCGGCGUGGUGUUGAGCCCCUCAGCCUUCCCUGGAGGGUCAGUUCUGUCCUUUUUUCCUGGGUUCUCCUGGUUCCACACCAUAUUCCUAGCGCCUAAAUCCAUACCCAGGGCAGGUGCUCCAUAGAGCAAGUCUUGCUUCCCCUCUGUCCAUGAACAGGAAUAGAGGGUGCGCCGGGGACACACAAGCCCCAGGGCCAGUCGGGGUCUGGCCAAGAGCAGGCCCUGAGGAGCUCAGGACAGAGCAGUGGGAACACAGCCCUGGAGGCAUUCCUGCAGCAGGGACGGCCUGGCAGGUGGGAGCCACUUAAAGGAGUUGCCCAGAGAGCGCAGAUGUGGUGGUUGGAGCUCCAGCAGCCACCUUGGACCUUAAAGUGACUGCUGAGAAGAGAAGGCACGUGCUGAGGUGUCUGGGUUACCACUGUGAAGUUUCCACCGUGGUCCUGGACUUCCUACCUAUCAAGCAUCUUUUAUGUAAAAGAUAAAGAAAUAUCUUUCUUCUUUAAGCUGUUUUAAUUUUGGAUUCUUCUGUUAAAUGCAGGCAAAGUUAAUGCUAACUGAUAUAUCCUAGUACAGAACUUGGUCCAUACUAGGCACUUGAUAAUUACUUGAUGACUGAACGGGCGAGGUGGGGUGAAGUGGGCUUGAGGGGUGUUGAGUCCAUCCCCAUGUGUAAUGAUGAGGUGUGGGAUGAGGGCUGCCAGGACUGAGAUGAGGCUGGUCGCCAGUGUCACCCUAGGGACUUUGUCCCCUUCCAUGUGACCUAGAGCUGUGUUCACUGUACUGUAAGCAGACUCACUUUCAGAAAACUCUGAUAUUCCAAAUUUGGACUAAAAUAAAAUUAGGCUUGUUGAUGCCUUCGUGUAUCUAUUAGUCUGUUCUUACACUGCUAUAAAGAAAUACCUGAGACUGGGUAAUUUAUAAAGGAAAGAGCUUUAAUUGAUUCACAGUUCUGCAGGGCUGGAAGACCUCAGGAAACUUACAGUCAUGGUGGAAGGGGAAGAGGCACGUCUUACAUGGUGGCUGGUGAGAGAGAACAUGUGUGUAGGAGGAACCAUCAAGCACUUAUAAAACCAUCAGAUCUCGUGAGAACUCACUAUGAGAACAGCAUGGGAGAAAUCACCCCCACGAUCCAGUCACCUCCCACCAGGUCCCACCCUCAACACAUGGGGAUUAUGGGGUUUACAAUUCAAGAUGAGAUUUGGGUGGGAACACAGAGCCAAACCAUAUCAGCUUACAAAUAGAUCAUUUUCUUGAAAUUGCCAUAUCCCUCUUUGUGGACUUUUAAAUGACUUAGUUUGAUAAGAGUUCACCCCUGGAGAGAUGGGUAUGCUGUUUCAGCUGCAGGUACAUGAUGAACUUCAGACUGGGAUUUUGGGCACCUAUGUCUAGCUUGGAAGUAGGCUGUGAAGGACGGGUUCCUUAGCAAUCUGGUGACUCCUGUUGGAUGCCGUAUCUGACUGCAUGCAUGGUGUACUCAGUCCAAUACACGACGUAUUCAUUAUACUUCUAUGUCAGGCUGGCCCUGAAAAUGGGGUGAAGACCUACAGGACAUGGCUCACAGCAGCUUGCAGUUUAGUUGGGGGGUAAAGAACACCUGGCUAAAGAGAAGGCCCCAGCAAUAGCUGUUGAUAUGACAUGCUCUGGGGCUCGGUGAGAUUGGGAUGACAUCUCUGCUGGGCCCCGUGGGUAAGGCUGGGUGGGUAGACACCUGAGAGGGGAGCAGUCAAAGAAAAGUCCAGAAAGAGUAGAGAAGGCCAGGCUCUAGACACCCUUGAUUGCCAGACUGGAGAAGGGGUCUGGGCAGGGACGGAGUGUCAUGAGACUGUGAUGUGGGAGAGCUACAGGCUUUGCCACAUGUGGGCUGAGGGCAGCCUGUCCUAUGAGCAGAUGUCUUCCAGGGAUUCUGUGGCACUCUUCCUCCACUGCCCCUGAGAGAGGGACUCAUGGAGGUGGCCCUCCCUAUACCUCCUGCCGUUUGGCGAUGGCAGCCCCAUCCCCAUGAGCUGGUGUGACUCCAGCCCAGGCCACAUGUGAGGUGCUGCCUCUUCUGCCUUGAGAGACAGAGGUGAGGGGCAAGACGCUGUGCAGCAGCCAGGCCAGGACCGGGGGCUACAGGGACUCUGUCAUUUAGGGAUGCAGAGGAAGACCAUUUGGGAAAGGGAGGCUGAGGCCAGAAUGUGGCAUAUAGCUGGGGCCGUGAGUGCUGGCCUAGGUGGGAUGUCACCGUCAGCCACUGAUGAUGCGGCCAUAUGUCAUGGCUUCUACGUCUUUACCUUUGAGAACUCUGUUAAGGCAGGUAAAGUAGGUAGUAGAGGUGGUGCUCCCAUCUUACAGAUGGGGAAACUGAGGCCCAGAAAGACCAAGAGAUGUGUCAGUGACACCUGGCAGCAGCAGAUGGGCAGAAGAGGAGGAGCCCCUCAGCCCACCUCCCAGCGGUGGUGCCCACGGGUGAUGCUCACUCUUCCCCAUGGGGUUCCCUGUGAAUGAGGACCCAUGAGGUGGCCCCUCUCCCGCAGCAGCAUAAAAACAUCCCCACUUCUACCACGCUCCUCACCCACAUUCUGGUUGCUGCCCUGGGCCAGCCUGCAUCUCCCAGGGGAUACAGGGCCUUAAGGCCCCUCUGCCCUCCCUGCUUCUCACUCCUGGGUGGCCUGGCGUGGUCAGCCCUGGUUUUGAUCACAGAAUAGCUAAGGCUGAUGGAAAGGGAGUGGCUGCAGUCAGGUGUGACCUCUGAGCAGCUGUGGCCAGUGACCCCGAGGAGGGAUGUGCAGUUGGCAGCACAGAAAGAGGAGCAAACUCUUGUGUCUCCCAUGGGCACCCAUGGGCCAGGCAUCCCCAAGGUGUGCCAGCCUGGAGAGUGGUCAGCUGCAGCUUCUGAGCUCUUCCAGAGUCCCUGCCCGGGGAACCCCAGCUCUGGUCUCCUGCUGCCUCAGCCUGCCUUCCUCCACUGAAGGACUCCCGUGGCUGUUGGUGGCUUGCCUGGGGUCCUCCCCAUCCCAAUGGUUGGGUGCUUCUGCCCCUGCACUCAUUACAGCCUGGAGUGGCGGGGAGUCCUGCCUCCUCCUGGAGGUCCCAGUCCCCACAGGCAGGUCUGCCUUAAAACCCAACAGCACCAAAUGCCUUUGGCCAUCACCUUUCCUUUUUAUUUUUUGAGAUGGAGUUUUAUUCUUGUUGCCCAGGCUGGAAUGCAAUGAGGGCACACUGCAACAUCCACCUCCUGGGUUCAAGCGAUUCUCCUACCUCAGCUUCCCAAAUAGCUGGGAUUACAGGCACAUGCCACCAUGCCCAGCAAAUUUUGUAUUUUUAGUAGAGAUGGCAUUUCACCAUGUUGUUCAGGCUGGUCUUGAACUCCUGACCUCAGGUGAUCCACCCGCCUUGGCCUCCCAAAGUGCUGGAAUUACAGGCCACAGCGCCCAGCCAGUGAUACUUGACUAACAGUGCCAUGCUAAGUUCUAAAAAUGUUUAGGGCAAAGUUUGCUAAAGUAUAAACAUGCAGAGAAGAGCACAGAUCAUAGAUGAUGAAUUUGCGCAAACUGAACACACUCGUGUUGCCAGCACCCCGGAAGCUCCCCACACUGUCUCCCAGCUACUUUCCCUCAAGAUUGGCAUUGGCUGGUUUUGAAUUUUAUUUAUCUGGCUUGUUUCACUUGCUCAUUGUGAGGCGCAGCUAUGUCUGUGUGCAGCACUCAAGCUCAUCAGCUCCAUUCGCUGCAGAAACCUCCACUGUCGGUACCGACCCUGACCCCUGCAUCCAUCCAGUUGAUGGGCAUCAUGGUUUCCAGGGGGCUCUGACGCGGUGCUGUCAUGCGCACAUUUGUGCACUGGUGUGCCUUUCUGUUUGACUCCUACUAAGAUCGCGGGUAGGGUACACACGCAUGCACCCAUAGUAAAUAAUGUGGCAUCAGCUGUGUGUGUCCUGCCUCCCUGGUGAUUCUGUAAGAAGUGUGGUGUCUUCACUUCCCCAGGCUCUCUGACCUGGUGCCCCGCACGCCAGCCCUCUUCUGCCACCAUCCGUCUCUGCACACAUGCAGUUGAGGCUCAGCAUGCAUCCCUGCUGAAGCCCUCGGCCCUCUGAUGGGCAGUGCCCAGUGCCCCAUAUCCUUAGCUGCUUCCACACCAGCAGGGCUCAGUCGCUGCCUGUGAAGGACUCACCAUGCAGACAGCAGGUGGCCCCCAGUGGAGAGGGAGCUCAGUCUCUAAGGCCACAAGCUUCCUUGGCCUCAGCCUUGGGAUUUAUUCAUGACUGGGAACUGUAGCAGGACCUGGUUUGUAACCACCAGCUGUCGCUAUAGCAACUCCUUCAACCAGCCUCUGCACUAAAAAUAAAUCACCUUCAUCCCUAGGAUAGAAAAAUCAAAGAAAAUCAAAGUAGGGGAGGGGGGGUGCCCACCCUGCUCAGCCGCCAGGAUUUCCAGGUACACGGACGUAACCCCUUCCGGCCACCACCUCCCGCCAGUGGCAGGAAGGGCACAGGCGGGGUGCAGGAAGGGCACAGGCGGGGUGCGGGAAGGGCACAGGUGGGGUGCAGGAAGGGCACAGGUGGGGUACAGACCAGGCCCUGAGAGCUCUGGGUGCCCGAGCACUGAGGGCUUCCCCACACUUCAAGACUUAUCUGUCUUCUCCUGUCUAAUAUGAACCAUAGAAUUUAAUACAAAUUAUAAAUAGUUGUAUUCUUGCCUAGGUUUCAUUCAUUUUCUAGAUAUUAGCUUUUCUAUGGAAUGGUCAAUUGCCACCACACCCAGUCUGCUUUUUGUUUUUGUUUUUACUGUGUUGAAUAUCCAUAGCACAAAAUUUACCAUCAUACCCAUCUCUAAGUACACAGCUCAGCGGCGUUAAGUCCACUGCCAUGGCUGUGUGGCCGUCUGUCCGUUUCCAGAACUCUCUUCAUCCUGCAGCACGUAAAUGCUGCCCCAUCACCCCUAACUCCCCAUGCUCCUCCCCAGUCCCUGGAGGCCAUGCUUCUGCUUCCUGUGUCUAUGAAUUUGGUGACUCCAGGGACCUCAUGUCAGCAGAAUUGAACAGCAUUUGUCUGUUUGUGUCUGGCCUGUUUCCCUCAAGCAUCGUGCUGCAUGGAUGUCCUUCAUGUGUGUUGUGACAGGUGGCAGAAUCUCCCUCCUUUUUUAAGGCUAAUACUCUGCUGUGCAUGGGGACCACAUUUUCUUCAUCUGUCGAUGGGCACGUGGAUUGCUUCCCGCCCACUGUUGGUAUCAUCACACACCGUAGGGAGAUCUCCUCUCUCCGGGGAGAUCGCAGGCCCUUUGAGGCAGGGUGGACCUCGCUCCUGCCGGCCUGUGGAGGGGCGGGAGUACUCCCAUCAGGCGCAGUGAGGGGCGUCGAUGCGCCCAUGGGCCAGGGUUGGGAGGCAUCCCCUGGAUCACAGCCAUGGUGGCAGCCCCCUUGGGCACUGAGGAGGAGCUGGGAUGCAGUGAGCAGCCCUGCCGCAUCCCAGGUCCCCAUGGGCAGAGUUUCUAAAGGUAGAAGUCCAGGCUCAGGGGUGCUUUCUGGUCCCAGUGCCACCCUCUGUUCUACUGUCGUUCAGCACUCGGGGCCAAACAGGACGGAGCCCGGCGCGGAGAUGGCAUGUGGGGUGGGCAGGCAGCCGCUCUGGCUAGGGAGUAUAAAGCUCCGGAAUCCAGCACAGCCUGGACAGGGGCCGAGAGCACAGGGUCCUUUGAAAAGAGGGAAGCAAGGGUGCUCAAGAAGCCGGGGGAGGCCCUGGAGGGAGGCCCUAGGAGGGAGGCCCUAGGAGGGAGGCCCUGGGAGGGAGGCCCUGCGAGGGAGGCCACGGCACCUGGAGACAAGCGAGCCGGCAGCAGCUCCACCCUCCAAGCGCCCGUGCAGGUGUGCCCUUCCCAGGGUUCCGAGCAGCAUGGCCCCUGGGAGCCUCCCUGCCUUGGGAAGUCACCAGUCACCCCCUUCCUCAGGAGGGGAGAAUGGGAGCAGGUGCAACAUCUGGGGGACAGUGGUGCAGACAGACUCACCAUGGAGAUGCCCAUCCCUGGCCUUGGUGAGAGGAUUACAAAGGGGCUGGGGGCUGGAAGGGCCCUGCAGUCUGUCUGGCUGUGUCUGUGACAGGGCCUUGUGUGCAAAGUGACCCCCAAAUGCAGAAAGAGGCCAGAAACCAAAGAACUGGGCAGACAAAUCCAGUAUGUUGUUGUAGGGUGAUUUUAUCGGGGAACUUAUGGGCAGAAGUGUGGUCUUGGGCAACCACAAGACAGGUAGGUCCCCCCCAGCACCCCCAUCACAGGGCUUCUGUGCCACAGGGCAAGGGUAUGGGGCUUCAGAGGAAAGGUGUAGGUGUACACCUAGGGCAGGCGCUACCUCGGAGUUGAUCAAGGUUGAUUUGCCCUAAGCAGGGGUGGCAAGUACACAGGAACAGUAGAUUAGCUGGAACCGGGUUGAUCAGAAGCCAAGGUGGAGGAUUCCCUGCCAAGACGGAGCUGCUUCAGACUCCACAGGUUGGUUGGCUGAAACAUGGACCCAGGGGUGUCCCAUGCUGAAUGGGGCUGAAACACCAGAACCGCCUGGGUCUGCUGCAGAGGGAGGCACCACAGUGCAGGGAGACUGGAGAGAAUUAGCCAUUUAAGACCGACUCACCACCUCUCACACACCUUUCACCAAGACUGUGGUGAGGGAGCCCAGUGCCCUUGAAGAGCUCCGUGCAGGUUGGAAAUCACAGGGGGCUGCUGCCACUGACCGGGGACCCUAAAUGGAUUGGGAGUGUCUGGUCCCAGGGUGGAAGGGGCUAAGUAGAAACAGUCACCAAAGGCAAGGCAGGUGCAGCCUGUCAGCGGAAGCAGAGACCAGGCAGCCACCAGGACAGCCCGACUCAAGGAGACCUGGGGCACGGGCAGGUGCACCACCAUGUUCUUAGAAGUGAAAUAGAUAAUAAACCUAUGACAUUCUAACUUGAUCUGUAUAAGCAGAAGAGUAGCCGAGUGAACACAAGUCUAGCCUGAAUGAGUCGUGGUCCUUCAAUCAGUUCUUAGGCUUGAGCCAGUUUCCAGACCCAGAACCCGGUGAGUGAAAGGGAGGCUAGGUCCCCUUGAAGAAGGACCCUACUACACCACCAAAAGUUCAUACUGUUAACUUCUCUCCCAUUCUCCCCCAAAGGGACGUAUGGCUUUUACCAGGGCGACUGGGCAUUAGGGAAGGGGUAUUGGAGAUGCCAGAACACCGAUUCUACACUGGCACUUGGCCCAGGAGAUGCACAGCGUCACCGUGGUCCACCCAUCAGAGCGGGGGCUGUGGACACAGAAAGAGACGGUGAUCAGCACAGAAUUUCUCCAGCUCUCCCUCAGUGGAGGGGAGGAGUGGGCAGGCUGCGGGGGUUGCCUUUCCUUUUUGCAGCCUUCUGUUUUCCACUUUUUGGGAGGCAGAGACCUAAGAAAAGAGCAGCCAAGGAUGUGUCUGUGGGGCUGAGGUGCUCAGAAGCGGGGAACAGCUCGGGGAUUAAAAGGGCUCUGGGGCAGGGAGGAAUGUCCUUUCAUUGGGACCCGCUGGGCCUGGGCCUAUCUAAUCAGUUUCACUGUGUGUCAGUAGUACAUCCAUAAUAAGAAGUGCCUGUGACAGCCCGGGACUGGGAAUGGGUGUUGAGCUGUUGGCUGACUGCGGGGAGGUGGCGGUGUGCUCUCUCGGCUUCCCUUGCACACGAACCAAACACGGGGCUGCGUCUCCACAUGUCCCCAUGGAGUCUCAUGGCAUUUCUGGGGAAUAGACAGGAUUCUAUCCCCACCACUCACCUGCUGAAGUCUAGCAUUCCUUUAUCAAAGCCAAGCCCUUUCCUCCAUGAGAGAUACCCCAGGGGAGGGAGCUGGGCUAACUGAUGAGAGUACUUUCACUGGAAGAAUUUUGGUGCCAAGAAGAGAGGAAAGGAUGCCAAUGGCAAGACAUCCUUGGCUGAAAGAUGGCUUCUCUGACCCAUCCGAAUGUUUGUAAAUUUAUGUGCCCUUUUCCUGAGGCGAGGUUGGCAGGCACCGCCACGUCAAGCAGGUAACAGACUAACGCUCCCCUGAACAUAGCUCGUCAGGAGGACGGGUGCUGGGAAAACCAGACUGCAAUGGACUGAAACCCUUUAUGAGACAGCAGAGUCAUGGUCACGUCUGAGUCUACACCUGUGUUGUAAAGAGUAUCUCUGGGGACAAGUGAGAGAGCCAACUAAUGAGAAAUACGGGGACGGGCUCGCUGUGCUGUGGGCACUAGGCCUCCCAUAGGAGCUGCGCCGGGGGGUUCUACAGCAUCCAUCAUAUUCACGUGCAGGAAACAAUGGCCAGCUCACCCACAAGAAGGAAUGCCACAGCCACGCUUGAGGAAUUCUGCAAGGUGAUUGCAUGGGAAGGAGUAUCAGGGAGGGCUUCAUGGAGGAGAAGGCCUUGAACUGGGCCUUGAGGGAGUAGCAGGGUUGGGAUAGGCAGGUGAGGGGAAAGAAUCUAGGACAAGGAGUAUGUGUAGUGUCUGUACAGUCUCAUGGGAACUAAGGAACAUGGGUUGGAGAGGAAUGGUAAGGCCAGACAACAUCUAUGAAAGCAAACAUGAUAAACAUGGUUGACACGCUUGAUGGGACAUUGGCCUGACACUGUGAAUGCCUGAGGCCGAAACAUCUGCCUGCCCCAGACAAACUAAAUCUUGACUCGGAUUUUAGAGGAACCUGCCCUGCUGUUCCCUGGCCAACAGGGUCGAACGUCUUCGACUGUCCCAGAGGGUCCUAGCGCAUGUCCCCUGCUGUCACAGGGGCAGACCUGGGGGGGAUCAUGAGGUGUCCAUGGGGCAGAGGGGUGGCACGCCUCCUGCGGGAGGUGGCUGGUGAUUCUGGGUUCUGCAUGAGGGGCCUUGGAGGGAGGAAGUGCUCUGGGAGCCAGGCCCUCAGGCACCUGAGCUGGGCCCCUCAGUGCUGUGCUGGCCUCAGCCCUGGCCCCGGCCCUGUCUUCAUCCCUUGCCUGCUGGCAUUGAAGCUCCAGUCGUAGAUGGAAGGCAGCUCCAGAAUGCCGGAGGAGACAGCAGAGCAAGUAGGAAGGGGCAGCUUUGAGAUGCAGAGAGGGGAGAGGGCCCCUGCUUCAGAAUGCUGGGUGGGUGGCCGCAGGGCUGGGACUACCCCAGAAAAGCCUGAGUGUGGGGUGGCUGCAGGGUUCUGGCUCCUGUGCCCAGGUAGGUGGCCGCGCCGCCCCAUCCAGCCCUCGGACAUCCUGUAUCCUUCUGUCCCCUCUGCCCCCUCGGUCCCCUCCAUCUCUCUUCAUUCCCUCCAACCCUCUCUGUCCUUCAUUCUCUUCCAUUCCCUCCAUCCCCUCUGCCCGCUCCAUCUCCUGUUCCCUCCACCCUUAUUGUCCCCCUCCAUCUCCCACCAAUCCCCUACCACCCUCUGUCCCCAUCCGUCCCCUCUGGUCCCUCCUUCCCCUUCUGUCCCCUCUAUCCCCUCCAAACCCUCCACUGUGCUCUGUCAUCUCAAUCCCCUGUCCCCCUCCAUCCUCUUCAAACCCUCUGCCCCCUUCAUCCCCCUCUAUUCCCUCCAUUCUCUGUCCUCCUUCAUCCUCUUCUGACCCCUCUGCCAUCUCUGCUCAUCCGGACAGGCUCUGGAGUCCUGCAUGCUUUUUCUAGAGCUUGAAAGCGCUUUGUUUUCAAAACAGCGGCUGCCAGUGCUUGACUUCAGGGUGUCAAGGUCUGUUCUGAGUUAUCUAUUUUAAGAAAAUUGUUUUCCACAAAUAGCAGUAAGAACGAAGUCUGUGUCACACCCAGAGAGAUUUAAUUGCCUAUAGACGGACCUCCUGAGCUAGCAGCCUCCAGCCCUCCUGGAAAGGGCCAUGGUCUAGCCGUGCGAGGUGGACUCUCCUGUCUAGGGUGUUUUGGGGCUGGAAGGAACAGAAACUCAAACACGAACUGGUUAAACAACAAAUCUUCUCCCAGAGCAGCAAACCCACGUUCUUUCUCUGUGUGUCCGUCUGGGCAUCCACUGCCUUUCCUCACGGUCACGAGCAGCUGUCUACAGCCACUGGAGCAGUUUGAGGGUUUAUGAGCUCAGAGGAGGGAAAGAAGAAAGGACACUUCCCCCCACCAUGGAAUGCGAGUCCUUCCCUGAUUCUGAGUGGACCAUCUCGGAAGCGCUCGCCCCGGGCCCAGUGCUAAUGGCCAGGGCUGUUCUCACCCCGACCUUUUGGAAGAAGCACAUCCCCUGGGGGCCCUGGGGGUGCUCGAAGACCCAGAGGAGCCCAGGGCUGGCCAGAGCUGUCCCUGGGCUGGGACAGAGCAAGUACAGCCAGUCGGGAGAGUUCCAUGGGAAGGUGUAGACUGAGUGUGGGGCCCCAGUGAAAUACCGGGACCACCUCAGCAGACAUGGGGGCCAGGGAAGGUGUUACGUGGAGCCCCGCUUACAGGCUGCCUGUAAACUCAGGGGGCGGGGCAGGCUUCAGUUUCUUGUUGGGAUCAGAUCAGGGCGCUAGGCCCACAUAGGCUCCUGGAAGCCAAUGGGAAUGACAGUGCCCAUCGCAAGACAGUGGUGCUGUGGGUGGGACCCAGGUAGGCAGCAGAGCCUCGAUGUGCUGAGUGUAGGUCCCUUGAGCGGCAGGUCCCAGGACGGGACUCAACACACACCAGACUCAUUGGGUGAGCAGCCUGGGAAGGAGGAGGGAAGGAGGCAGAAGACAGGGGGCAUCCUCUCUCUGACCCCUGCGGCCAUGGUGGCUAGGAAGAUCAGGCGGUGAGAGUCUCAGGGUGGCCCAGCACCUGGCACUUAGGCAUUGGCUGGGAGCAGCCCUGGGCGAAGGCUAGAGGUACUGGGGGUUUGGGGUGUGUUGGGCGCAUGGUCUCUGUGUGAAGAGGGAAGUGAAAGUUGUAGCCCAGCUCCCCCAGCAGGAGGCCUGAUUGGUGGGUUUCUGUGACCACCUCCUUUAUAAAGUCCCACUUGCCCGAAAACUUGUAUAAGUUGGGCCAGGGCUGAGUGUGCUGGGGCCGGGAAUCACGUUGCAGAGGCCAGGAGGCAGGACCCCUCUCCCCUCUGCCAUGGGGCUUUCUGUCUGGACCUCCACUGCUGAGCUGAUUGCAAAAUACGUCUCAUCUCCCAGAGCAACGCUCAGGAACAGGGUGGCACGUGUCUCCUUCAGUCCCAUCCGUUUCCCUGAUUUGGGACCUUGUGCUUAUCAGGGGCUUGAUGAAUGUUUGUGGAUGGGUUGGGAAGCUGAGCACGCAGAGAACAGGAAUAUCCACGUCUGGGAAACCGCUUGGCAAGAUGUAGCCUGGCGCCUCAGGAACACAGGGAAACAGGCAGCCCUUAGGUCUCAUAGGCCAAUGCCAAAGAGAGAGAUGAAGCCAGCUCUUGAAGAGAAGGGGCAUGGGAGGUGGGCAGACCUGCCUUCUGAUGUGGUGGAUAAGAACGAGAGAAUGCCAUUUGAAAAUUCUGAGCAGUCAGCUUUGGACGCCGUGGAAGGGGUCCCUCUAGCCGGGUGUUCUCAGCUGCUGGCUCAGAUUCAUUCUGGCUAGUUGUAGUGGAGCCCAAAAAAUGUAUUAAAAGUGCUGAGUAGCUCACAAAGUCCCCAGGAUGCAAAACCAGGCUGGGUGGUUUCUGAGAGGAGCCCAAAGUGACUUCCAGAGUGGAAACACAGAGGCCACAUGGCACUGGGCACAGCCACCAUGAUGUGCCUGCAGCUGGAGGACUUGUGCUGUGCCAUGGAUGAGAUUGUGUCCCCCAAACUCACACGUGGAAGCUCUGACCCUCGAGGUCGCUUAUUCGGAGACAGGGCUUUGAGGAGGGAAUUAAGGGUAAAUGAAGUCGUAAGGGUGGGGCUGCCAUCUGAUAGGACUUCGGCCUUACAGGAGAAGGGAGAGAUCUAACCCCUCCACCCACCGCCAUGGGAAGGUGGCCGUCUGCAAGCUGGGAAGAGAGUCCUCACCAGAAGCCAACUGUGCCGGCACCCUGACCUUGGGCUUUCCAGCCCCCAGAACCAUCAGAAAAUCAACUUCAGUUAUGCAGGCCACCCCAUGUGUGUUCUGUUCUGCCAGCCCAAGUUGGCUAAGACAGUGCCUACCCUGGAAGCCAGGACCUCCUGCCUGGCAGCUGCUUCCAUGCAGCAGAAGCUGAGUCUGGCCCAGGACCACCCUUACAUCGGAGCCCCUCCCCCCAACUCCCAAGCCCAGGCAUAGUGAAGGUGUAAAAAGACAGUGCAUGGGCAAAAAGAAUGACAAGCUCCCACCCACACAGGGACAGUGAAUUUGAGGCAGGUCCCCAGCAAGGUCAAAGCCAGCUACUGAGAGACCUUUCCCAUGAGGGGAUGCUUCCCUGGUGGGCUACCAAGGCUCAGGAUGGCUCAUCAGCUUUAUAGGCUCCAAAACCCCACUCUUUCAGCACACCAGGACCAGAUUUAUUACCUGGUUCACAGGAACUUAGCCAGAUCCCGUUUUUUCAUCCCAGUUGGCACGGAUAGUGGGCAAAUAUGUGGGUGGGUGUGGCUACCCACACAUGCCAAGGCCUCCCCACCUUGUUGGCAGGGCCACAGGGAGCCAGACUAGAGCUGCUGAGUGGUCACGGUACCAGCAGAGGGUCUGGGGCCGGGCAGCCCUUCUCUUGAAGGCCGGCUGCAGCCUCCUGUUUUGUGCCCUUGGGUUACCACCCUGCUACCAUUCUCUUCACCUGGAGUUUCUCCAAAAAGUUCCUGCAUAUGAAAUUCAAGUCAAAUAUUAUUCCUGCCUUCCUGCAGAUGACCUCAUCACCCUGAGUGCAGGUACAGGUGUUCCCAGUUCCUUAACCAUGUCAUCACAGGCUCUGGGGUAACUCUUGUCAAUGACUGAUGGCAUCCACUUUUUAUGCGAUUGUACAGCCUUAAUGAAGGCAAUCUCUUUCCUUCUUUUUUUUUUUUUUUUGACAUGGGGUCUUGCUCUGUCUCCAGGCUGGAGUGCAAUGGCAUGAU